Molecule: small RNA, 917 nt
Filed under: Scopulariopsis koningii
Lineage: Eukaryota; Fungi; Ascomycota; Sordariomycetes; Microascales; Microascaceae
Description: eukaryotic LSU rRNA
Rfam family: Eukaryotic large subunit ribosomal RNA
Source: RNAcentral
ACCCGCUGAACUUAAGCAUAUCAAUAAGCGGAGGAAAAGAAACCAACAGGGAUUGCCUUAGUAACGGCGAGUGAAGCGGCAACAGCUCAAAUUUGAAAUCUGGUCCCCUUUGGGGGCCCGAGUUGUAAUUUGAAGAGGAUGCUUUUGGCGAGGCGCCGUCCGAGUUCCCUGGAACGGGACGCCGCAGAGGGUGAGAGCCCCGUACGGUCGGACGCCGAGCCUCUGUAAAGCUCCUUCGACGAGUCGAGUAGUUUGGGAAUGCUGCUCAAAAUGGGAGGUAAACCCCUUCUAAAGCUAAAUACUGGCCAGAGACCGAUAGCGCACAAGUAGAGUGAUCGAAAGAUGAAAAGCACUUUGAAAAGAGAGUUAAAAAGCACGUGAAAUUGUUAAAAGGGAAGCGCUUGCGACCAGACUUGCGCCCGUCGGAUCAACCGUCGCUUGCGGCGGCGCACUCCGGCGGGCUCAGGCCAGCAUCAGUUCGUCCGGGGGGAGAAAGGCGGCGGGAAUGUGGCUCUUCGGAGUGUUAUAGCCCGCCGUGUAAUACCCUCGGGUGGACUGAGGACCGCGCGUAUGCAAGGAUGCUGGCGUAAUGGUCGUCAGCGACCCGUCUUGAAACACGGACCAAGGAGUCGUCCUAAUAUGCGAGUGUACGGGUGUCAAACCCCUGCGCGUAAUGAAAGUGAACGGAGGUGAGAGCUUCGGCGCAUCAUCGACCGAUCCUGAUGUUCUCGGAUGGAUUUGAGUAAGAGCAUAUUGGGCCGGACCCGAAAGAAGGUGAACUAUGCCUGUGUAGGGUAAAGCCAGAGGAAACUCUGGUGGAGGCUCGCAGCGGUUCUGACGUGCAAAUCGAUCGUCAAACAUGGGCAUGGGGGCGAAAGACUAAUCGAACCUUCUAGUAGCUGGUUUCCGCCGAAGUU